This 75-nucleotide transfer RNA is filed under the name Deltaproteobacteria bacterium. RNAcentral's name for it is "tRNA-Thr". It matches the Rfam family "tRNA". From Rfam's summary of the family: Transfer RNA (tRNA) molecules are approximately 80 nucleotides in length. Their secondary structure includes four short double-helical elements and three loops (D, anti-codon, and T loops). The record is from RNAcentral. Lineage: Bacteria; Pseudomonadati; Myxococcota; Myxococcia.
GCCACCCUAGCUCAGUGGUAGAGCAGCGGUUUCGUAAACCGCAGGUCGUCGGUUCAAUCCCGAUGGGUGGCUCCA